AGACUUGUAGCUGCAGCAUGUUGUCCAGACUCUUUCGGUGGUAAGGAGUAAGGUAAACCAGCGAAAGGUACAGUGUAACUCAUGUUGCGGUUAGCAGUAAACUCUUCAGUGUUCUUUCUUUGACCAGCUAAGUUAUCCAUAUCAGCGGCUGGACGACCCGCCACCACAUCCUUAGCGAGGCUGGAAGAAGAACCACCACCAGCACCACCUGCUUCAGACUCCGCAACAUCUUCGUUAUCAGCAGUUGAUCCUUCAUCAGUCGCG
This 264-nucleotide long non-coding RNA is filed under the name Brassica napus (rape). RNAcentral describes it as "long non-coding RNA (BNAP_LNC003055)". Lineage: Eukaryota; Viridiplantae; Streptophyta; Magnoliopsida; Brassicales; Brassicaceae. The record is from RNAcentral.